Long non-coding RNA from Saccostrea cuccullata (small rock oyster), 464 nucleotides. RefSeq lists it as uncharacterized. The transcript is spliced from 3 exons. NCBI's taxonomy places the organism in Eukaryota, Metazoa, Mollusca, Bivalvia, Ostreida, Ostreidae. The record is from RefSeq and is a predicted model, not a curated record.
GCGUGUGCAUCUAUGAUCGGAUAUAUGAUUAAGAGGAGCUUAGGAUGUUAGAGACACGUGGCUGAAUGCUACUACUGUGUUAAGAUAAAACCAUUGUUAUAUACGUACAAAUCUUCAAGCAAGGGUAGGUUGGAUAUAACGUUAGAAGAUCUGAACUCUGUUUGUUUGUCACCCUUGUGUGACCUCUGAACUUUAUGCCCGGGUGACCAUCUGGCUUUUGAAUGAUGAUGCUGAAUGAUAUGGCCAACAGUAAUACAACAGUGGACCACUCCUGUCAGAAAACGUCAUUAUGGAAUGAUGAUAUAUUUUCCGGGUCGGCUCCAAGAUUUCCAGACUGUUUCCAGAAUACGGUAUUAGUCUGGAUUCCAUGUGGAUUCCUGCUUCUAUGUUCGCCAUUCCAGAUCGCUAGCUUGUGUCACAAUUAUGUCGGAUAUCCUCUGCCACUUGGAAUCAGGAGUAUUAUA